RNAcentral lists this ribosomal RNA (891 nucleotides) under Stutzerimonas stutzeri. RNAcentral's name for it is "bacterial SSU rRNA". It matches the Rfam family "Bacterial small subunit ribosomal RNA", at positions 33 to 919 of the family's 1533-position model. Lineage: Bacteria; Pseudomonadati; Pseudomonadota; Gammaproteobacteria; Pseudomonadales; Pseudomonadaceae. The record is from RNAcentral.
ACGCUGGCGGCAGGCCUAACACAUGCAAGUCGAGCGGAUGAGUGGAGCUUGCUCCAUGAUUCAGCGGCGGACGGGUGAGUAAUGCCUAGGAAUCUGCCUGGUAGUGGGGGACAACGUUUCGAAAGGAACGCUAAUACCGCAUACGUCCUACGGGAGAAAGUGGGGGAUCUUCGGACCUCACGCUAUCAGAUGAGCCUAGGUCGGAUUAGCUAGUUGGUGAGGUAAAGGCUCACCAAGGCGACGAUCCGUAACUGGUCUGAGAGGAUGAUCAGUCACACUGGAACUGAGACACGGUCCAGACUCCUACGGGAGGCAGCAGUGGGGAAUAUUGGACAAUGGGCGAAAGCCUGAUCCAGCCAUGCCGCGUGUGUGAAGAAGGUCUUCGGAUUGUAAAGCACUUUAAGUUGGGAGGAAGGGCAGUAAGUUAAUACCUUGCUGUUUUGACGUUACCAACAGAAUAAGCACCGGCUAACUUCGUGCCAGCAGCCGCGGUAAUACGAAGGGUGCAAGCGUUAAUCGGAAUUACUGGGCGUAAAGCGCGCGUAGGUGGUUCGUUAAGUUGGAUGUGAAAGCCCCGGGCUCAACCUGGGAACUGCAUCCAAAACUGGCGAGCUAGAGUAUGGCAGAGGGUGGUGGAAUUUCCUGUGUAGCGGUGAAAUGCGUAGAUAUAGGAAGGAACACCAGUGGCGAAGGCGACCACCUGGGCUAAUACUGACACUGAGGUGCGAAAGCGUGGGGAGCAAACAUGAUUAGAUACCCUGGUAGUCCACGCCGUAAACGAUGUCGACUAGCCGUUGGGAUCCUUGAGAUCUUAGUGGCGCAGCUAACGCAUUAAGUCGACCGCCUGGGGAGUACGGCCGCAAGGUUAAAACUCAAAUGAAUUGACGGGGG